RNAcentral lists this ribosomal RNA (393 nucleotides) under uncultured bacterium. RNAcentral's name for it is "partial 16S ribosomal RNA". It matches the Rfam family "Bacterial small subunit ribosomal RNA", at positions 523 to 918 of the family's 1533-position model. The record is from RNAcentral.
AUACGGAGGAUGCGAGCGUUAUCCGGAUUUAUUGGGUUUAAAGGGUGCGUAGGCUGUGCGUUAAGUCAGGGGUGAAAUGCCGUCGCUCAACGACGGAGCUGCCCUUGAUACUGGCGUGCUGGAGUACGGAUGCCGUUGGAGGAAUGAGUGGUGUAGCGGUGAAAUGCUUAGAUAUCACUCAGAACACCAAUUGCGAAGGCAUCUGCAGAAUCCGUCACUGACGCUGAGGCACGAAAGCGUGGGGAUAGAACAGGAUUAGAUACCCUGGUAUUCCACGCCGUAAACGAUGAUGACUAACCGUCGGCGAUAGACAGCCGGUGGCCAAGCGAAAGCGAUAAGUCAUCCACCUGGGGAGUACGUCGGCAACGAUGAAACUCAAAGGAAUUGACGGGG